GAUGAACGCUAGCUACAGGCUUAACACAUGCAAGUCGAGGGGUAACGAGAGGAAAGCUUGCUUUCCUUGUCGACGACCGGCGCACGGGUGAGUAACGCGUAUCCAACCUGCCCCCAACUAAGGAAUAACCUUGCGAAAGUAAGACUAAUACCUUAUAAUUUCUUCAGAUGUCAUCUGACGAGGAAUAAAGAUUUAUCGGUUGUGGAUGGGGAUGCGUCUGAUUGGCUUGUUGGCGGGGUAAUGGCCCACCAAGGCAACGAUCAGUAGGGGUUUCGAGAGGAAGGUCCCCAACAUUGGAACUGAGACACAGUCCAAAAUCCUACGGGAGGCAGCAGUGAGGAAUAUUGGUCAAUGGGCGAAAGCCUGAACCAGCCAAGUAGCGUGCAGGAUGACGGCCCUAUGGGUUGUAAACUGCUUUUAUACAGGAAUAAAGUUAGCCACGUGUGGUUAUUUGUAGGUACUGUAUGAACAAGGACCGGCUAAUUCCGUGCCAGCCGCCGCGGUAA
This 506-nucleotide ribosomal RNA is filed under the name uncultured bacterium. RNAcentral's name for it is "partial 16S ribosomal RNA". It matches the Rfam family "Bacterial small subunit ribosomal RNA", at positions 28 to 523 of the family's 1533-position model. The record is from RNAcentral.